This 656-nucleotide ribosomal RNA is filed under the name uncultured bacterium. RNAcentral describes it as "bacterial SSU rRNA". It matches the Rfam family "Bacterial small subunit ribosomal RNA", at positions 335 to 1002 of the family's 1533-position model. The record is from RNAcentral.
ACUCCUACGGGAGGCAGCAGUGAGGGAUAUUGCACAAUGGGGGAAACCCUGAUGCAGCGACGCCGCGUGGGUGAUGAAGGCUUUCGGGUCGUAAAACCCUUUUUGGCAUGACGAGAACGGACGGUAGUGCCAGAAUAAGUCUCGGCUAACUACGUGCCAGCAGCCGCGGUAAAACGUAGGAGGCAAGCGUUAUCCGGAGUUACUGGGCGUAAAGGGUGCGUAGGCGGCUCAUCAAGUGGGACGUGAAAGCUCACGGCUAAACUGUGAGAGGACGACUCAGACUGAAGGGCUAGAGGGUGUCAGAGGCGUGCGGAAUUCGGGGUGUAGCGGUGAAAUGUGUAGAGAUCCCGAGGAACACCAGUGGUGCAAACGGCGCGCUGGGACACAACUGACGCUGAAGCACGAAAGCGUGGGGAGCGAACGGGAUUAGAGACCCCGGUAGUCCACGCCGUAAACGAUGUCAACUAGGUGUCUGCAAGGGGAAACCUGAGUGGGUGUCAAAGCUAACGCGAUAAGUUGACCGCCUGGGGAGUACGGUCGCAAGGCUAAAACUCAAAGGAAUUGACGGGGGCCCGCACAAGCAGCGGAGCGUGUGGUUUAAUUCGAGGCUACGCGAAGAACCUUACCUGGGUUUGACAUCACGGUGGUAGGGCGAC